Molecule: ribosomal RNA, 502 nt
Filed under: uncultured bacterium
Lineage: Bacteria
Description: partial 16S ribosomal RNA
Rfam family: Bacterial small subunit ribosomal RNA
Source: RNAcentral
GACGAACGCUGGCGGCGUGCCUAAUACAUGCAAGUCGAACGAACCGCGACUAGGUGCUUGCACUUGGUCAAGGUGAGUGGCGAACGGGUGAGUAACACGUGGGUAACCUACCUCAUAGUGGGGGAUAACAGUCGGAAACGACUGCUAAUACCGCAUAGGACAUAGGAUCACAUGAUCCAGUGAGGAAAGGUGGCGCAAGCUAUCGCUAAGAGAUGGACCCGCGGUGCAUUAGCUAGUUGGUAGGGUAAAGGCCUACCAAGGCGAUGAUGCAUAGCCGACCUGGGAGGGUGAUCGGCCACAUUGGGACUGAGACACGGCCCAAACUCCUACGGGAGGCAGCAGUAGGGAAUCUUCCGCAAUGGACGCAAGUCUGACGGAGCAACGCCGCGUGAGUGAAGAAGGUCUUCGGAUCGUAAAGCUCUGUUGUUAGAGAAGAACAGCGCAUAGAGUAACUGUUAUGCGUGUGACGGUAUCUAACCAGAAAGCCACGGCUAACUACGUG